UUAUCCGUUAGGUGUGUCACCGAAUAGCAUGCUACCCGACGACUGGCAUUCAUCGUUUACGGUGUGGACUACCAGGGUAUCUAAUCCUGUUUGCUCCCCACACUUUCGCACCUCAGCGUCAGUAUCGAGCCAGUGAGCCGCCUUCGCCACUGGUGUUCCUGCGAAUAUCUACGAAUUUCACCUCUACACUCGCAAUUCCACUCACCUCUCUCGAACUCAAGACUACCAGUAUCAAAGGCAGUUCCGGGGUUGAGCCCCGGGAUUUCACCUCUGACUUAAUAGUCCGCCUACGCGCGCUUUACGCCCAGUAAUUCCGAACAACGCUAACCCCCUCCGUAUUACCGCGGCUGCUGGCACGGAGUUAGCCGGGGUUUCUUUACUGGGUACAGUCAUUAUCUUCCCCAGCGAAAGAGCUUUACGACCCUAGGGCCUUCGUCACUCACGCGGCAUGGCUAGAUCAGGGUUUCCCCCAUUGUCUAAGAUUCCCCACUGCUGCCUCCCGUAGGAGUCUGGGCCGUGUCUCAGUCCCAGUGUGGCUGAUCAUCCUCUCAAACCAGCUAUAGAUCGUAGGCUUGGUAGGCCGUUACCCCACCAACUACCUAAUCUAACGCGGGCCGAUCCUUCUCCGAUAAAUCUUUCCCCCGAAGGGCGUAUAAGGUAUUACUCACCGUUUCCAGUGGCUAUUCCUUAGAGAAGGGCACGUUCCCACGCGUUACUCACCCGUCCGCCGCUAAGACCGAAGUCUUCGCUCGACUUGCAUGUGUUAAGCCU
RNAcentral lists this ribosomal RNA (771 nucleotides) under Rhodobacteraceae bacterium ACEMC 2-9. Its description in RNAcentral is "partial 16S ribosomal RNA". Lineage: Bacteria; Pseudomonadati; Pseudomonadota; Alphaproteobacteria; Rhodobacterales; Paracoccaceae. The record is from RNAcentral.